Ribosomal RNA from Scophthalmus maximus (turbot), 119 nucleotides. NCBI's taxonomy places the organism in Eukaryota, Metazoa, Chordata, Actinopteri, Pleuronectiformes, Scophthalmidae. The record is from Ensembl.
GCUUACGGCCACACCGCCUGGUUCACGCACGAUCUCGUUUGAUCUCGGAAGAUAAGAUAGGGUGGGCCUGGUUAGUACUUGGAUGGGAGACCGCCUGGGAAUACCAGGUGCUGUAAGCU